CCUACGGGCGGCAGCAGUGAGGAAUAUUGGUCAAUGGGAGAGAUCCUGAACCAGCCAAGCCGCGUGAGGGAAGACGGCCCUAUGGGUUGUAAACCUCUUUUGUCGGAGAACAAAACCCGGGACGUGUCCCGGACUGCGUGUACCCGAAGAAAAAGCAUCGGCUAACUCCGUGCCAGCAGCCGCGGUAAUACGGAGGAUGCGAGCGUUAUCCGGAUUUAUUGGGUUUAAAGGGUGCGCAGGCGGGAGAUCAAGUCAGCGGUAAAAUGUCGGGGCUCAACCCCGGCCGGCCGUUGAAACUGGUUUUCUAGAGUUGGAGAGAAGUAUGCGGAAUUCGUGGUGUAGCGGUGAAAUGCAUAGAUAGCACGAAGAACUCCGAUUGCGAAGGCAGCAUACCGGCUCCAUACUGACGCUGAGGCACGAAAGCGUGGGGAUCGAACAGGAUUAGAUACCCCAGUAGUC
Molecule: ribosomal RNA, 459 nt
Filed under: uncultured bacterium
Lineage: Bacteria
Description: partial 16S ribosomal RNA
Rfam family: Bacterial small subunit ribosomal RNA
Source: RNAcentral